Molecule: ribosomal RNA, 253 nt
Filed under: uncultured bacterium
Lineage: Bacteria
Description: partial 16S ribosomal RNA
Rfam family: Bacterial small subunit ribosomal RNA
Source: RNAcentral
UACGGGGGGGGCAAGCGUUGUUCGGAAUUACUGGGCGUAAAGGGCUCGUAGGUGGCCAACUAAGUCAGACGUGAAAUCCCUCGGCUUAACCGGGGAACUGCGUCUGAUACUGGAUGGCUUGAGUUCGGGAGAGGGAUGCGGAAUUCCAGGUGUAGCGGUGAAAUGCGUAGAUAUCUGGAGGAACACCGGUGGCGAAGGCGGCCUGCUGGGCAGUAGCUGACACUGAGGCGCGACAGCGUGGGGAGCAAACAGG